This 495-nucleotide ribosomal RNA is filed under the name uncultured bacterium. RNAcentral's name for it is "partial 16S ribosomal RNA". It matches the Rfam family "Bacterial small subunit ribosomal RNA", at positions 28 to 507 of the family's 1533-position model. The record is from RNAcentral.
GACGAACGCUGGCGGCGUGCCUAAUACAUGCAAGUAGAACGCUGAAGGAGGAGCUUGCUCUUCUGGAUGAGUUGCGAACGGGUGAGUAACGCGUAGGUAACCUGCCUGGUAGCGGGGGAUAACUAUUGGAAACGAUAGCUAAUACCGCAUAAGAGUAGAUGUUGCGUGACAUUUGCUUAAAAGGUGCAAUUGCAUCACUACCAGAUGGACCUGCGUUGUAUUAGCUAGUUGGUGGGGUAACGGCUCACCAAGGCGACGAUACAUAGCCGACCUGAGAGGGUGAUCGGCCACACUGGGACUGAGACACGGCCCAGACUCCUACGGGAGGCAGCAGUAGGGAAUCUUCGGCAAUGGACGGAAGUCUGACCGAGCAACGCCGCGUGAGUGAAGAAGGUUUUCGGAUCGUAAAGCUCUGUUGUAAGAGAAGAACGAGUGUGAGAGUGGAAAGUUCACACUGUGACGGUAUCUUACCAGAAAGGGACGGCUAACUACGUG